RNAcentral lists this ribosomal RNA (429 nucleotides) under bacterium. RNAcentral's name for it is "partial 16S ribosomal RNA". It matches the Rfam family "Bacterial small subunit ribosomal RNA", at positions 355 to 776 of the family's 1533-position model. The record is from RNAcentral.
UAGGGAAUCUUCGGCAAUGGAGGCAACCCUGACCGAGCAACGCCGCGUGAGUGAAGAAGGUUUUCGGAUCGUAAAGCUCUGUUGUAAGAGAAGAACGUGUGUGAGAGUGGAAAGUUCACACAGUGACGGUAACUUACCAGAAAGGGACGGCUAACUACGUGCCAGCAGCCGCGGUAAUACGUAGGUCCCGAGCGUUGUCCGGAUUUAUUGGGCGUAAAGCGAGCGCAGGCGGUUUAAUAAGUCUGAAGUUAAAGGCAGUGGCUUAACCAUUGUUCGCUUUGGAAACUGUUAAACUUGAGUGCAGAAGGGGAGAGUGGAAUUCCAUGUGUAGCGGUGAAAUGCGUAGAUAUAUGGAGGAACACCGGUGGCGAAAGCGGCUCUCUGGUCUGUAACUGACGCUGAGGCUCGAAAGCGUGGGGAGCAAACAGG